CCUACGGGUGGCAGCAGUGAGGAAUAUUGGUCAAUGGACGAGAGUCUGAACAAGCCAAGUAGCGUGAAGGAUGACUGCCCUAGGGGUUGUAAACUUCUUUUAUAUGGGAAGAAAACAGGGUAUGCAUACCCUCUUGUAUGUACCAUAUGAAUAAGGAUCGGCUAACUCCGUGCCAGCAGCCGCGGUAAUACGGAGGAUCCGAGCGUUAUCCGGAUUUAUUGGGUUUAAAGGGAGCGUAGGUGGAUUGUUAAGUCCGUUGGGCAAGUUUGCGGCUCAACCGUAAAAUUGCCGUUGAAACUGGCAGUCUUGAGUACAGUAGAGGUGGGCGGUAUUCGUGGUGUAGCGGUGCCAUGCUUAGAUCUCACGCAGUACUCCGAUUGCGAAGGCAGCUCACUGGACUGCAUCUGACACUGAUGCUCGACAGUGUGGGUAUCAAACAGGCUUAGCUACCCCUGUAGUC
RNAcentral lists this ribosomal RNA (460 nucleotides) under uncultured bacterium. RNAcentral's name for it is "partial 16S ribosomal RNA". It matches the Rfam family "Bacterial small subunit ribosomal RNA", at positions 338 to 795 of the family's 1533-position model. The record is from RNAcentral.